This is a non-coding RNA of Erythranthe guttata (spotted monkey flower), 602 nucleotides long. The record is from RefSeq and is a predicted model, not a curated record. Lineage: Eukaryota; Viridiplantae; Streptophyta; Magnoliopsida; Lamiales; Phrymaceae.
UGUCCUAAUUCCCUUAAUUGCAAUCUACACCCUCUUGUCUUCUAUAUUACAAGUAAGUCCCUCUACUCCCAUAUAAAUUGACCCUUCCUCUUCACUAUUUUCAGCAUAAAUACAUCAGCCUAAAAAUCACUCCUCUCCUCUCUUUCUCGUCCAAAUACAGCCCCAAAAGGAAGAAUUCAUCUUCCACUUCCAAACCUUCAAGAUUCUUCAUAAAAGUCUCUCUUUUCCUCUUCUAAAAUCCUCUCAAAAUGCCUCUCUCUCCCUAAAUUCGAGAUUCCUCAAAUACAUUCAAAGAAACAACCAUAUAACCUCUCAAAACACAUCUCCUAAGCAAUCCAAUACCACCCAUGUCAAGCCCAAAGACUUCCAAGCUAAAACUCCAUGGAUCCUUGGUUUCUUCUCCUUCUUAGCCUUUGAUUUUCAUGGGUUCUCGAAGUAAUAAGAGUGCGCAGCGGAGCGGAGUUCGAGGAAUCACGAACCUUGAUGCCUUGCAUGUCUUACCCGGAUUUCGUAAAAGAUCAUGUUUUCACUUUCACAUGUAAACAAAAGGUCUUAUGUACAAAAAUUGGAGAUUUUCAUGAUUAUAUUUUACUCUGAUUUAG